UUGCUAUCUGCGAUUUGAACGAUUCGAACCUGCGGCAGGUUCGAGCCGAACGCAGUGAGGCACCGGAGCCGCAGGCGACGGCCCGGAGGGUGAACAACGCGAAUCAUCCUGCACGACCCACCA
This 123-nucleotide small RNA is filed under the name Pseudomonas tritici. RNAcentral's name for it is "Pseudomonas sp. SWRI145 RtT sRNA". It matches the Rfam family "RtT RNA". Rfam says of the family: This family represents a bacterial cis-regulatory element known as RtT RNA. The exact function of RtT is unknown although it is thought that it may be involved in changing the cellular response in relation to amino acid starvation. The record is from RNAcentral. Lineage: Bacteria; Pseudomonadati; Pseudomonadota; Gammaproteobacteria; Pseudomonadales; Pseudomonadaceae.